AUUGAACGCUGGCGGCAGGCCUAACACAUGCAAGUAGAACGAGUGGCGGACGGGUGAGUAAUGUCUGGGAAACUGCAUGAUGGAUGGGGAUAACUACUGGAAACGGUAGCUAAUACCGCAUACCAUCGGAUGUGCCCAGAUGGGAUUAGCUAGUAGGUGGGGUAAAGGCUCACCUAGGCGACGAUCCCUAGCUGGUCUGACAGGAGGACCAGCCACACUGGACCUGAAACACGGCCAAGAUUCCUAGGGGAGGAAGCAGUGGGGAAUAUUGCACAAUGGGCGCAAGCCUGAUGCAGCCAUGCGGCGUGUAUGAAGAAGGCCUUCGGGUUGUAAAGUACGUUCAUCGGGGAGGCGUUACCCGCAGAAGAAGCACCGGCUAACUCCGUGCCAGCAGCCGCGGUAAUAC
This 406-nucleotide ribosomal RNA is filed under the name uncultured bacterium. Its description in RNAcentral is "partial 16S ribosomal RNA". It matches the Rfam family "Bacterial small subunit ribosomal RNA", at positions 30 to 526 of the family's 1533-position model. The record is from RNAcentral.